UUCAGGAAAAUGAAGCUAUCAAAAGGCAAAGCUAGAUGAUGCAAAAUCAAGACAAUGAAACAAGUGUUAAAAACAACACUACCAAUCUGAUUCAGGAAAAUCAAAGCAAUCAAAAAGGCAACGAUGGAAAAAGCCUCUUCUUGCACUGGGUCAAAAGAAUUAGGUGUUCGUAUUCCAACAAGGACGAUGACUCUGAUUUUUUCAAAAGAAGUCAAUUCAGAACAAAAACGGUC
Long non-coding RNA from Capsella rubella, 233 nucleotides. RefSeq lists it as uncharacterized. NCBI's taxonomy places the organism in Eukaryota, Viridiplantae, Streptophyta, Magnoliopsida, Brassicales, Brassicaceae. The transcript is spliced from 3 exons. The record is from RefSeq and is a predicted model, not a curated record.